AGUGAGGAGAGCUCGCUGGGCCCUGCACCCAUCCAGCAAUGGUGGGGCAUGCUGGGACACAGCACAGCAUAUAAAAGGGCAUAUAUGAGAUAUGAGGUGUAUGGGAGCUGCUGAGUCACAGCCUGAACCACUGAUUGAGCACCUGGGGAAAGGACCCGGUCAGCCCUGGGAGCACAGGUGAAGGCAAUUCACGUGUGUGACUGGAAGGGGUGGAGCCUGCCUGCACCUCUCUUAGACCUCAUUUAAGGGCUGACUGCCACUAGGGAAGGUUCUCUUUCUGGAGAUCCCUUCUUAGUGGAGCUUUUUCCUGGGAUCUUCUGAUAUGGUUCUCCACUUGCUAUGGUGCUGCUGUGCCACUACUGUUAAUAAUGUCAUCAAGCCUUACCUGCGUGAAUGACUGCAAAGGAUGCCAAUGGCAACCUCAAGGACAGAGUGAGACCUUGCGGUCACCGGGACACCGAUGAUGCUUCUCUGUGUGAUGGAUGUGUUCACAGAAUUAGGCCCCAUGACACGGAAGUGGAUGCUGCUCCAAUUUUCUUUCAAGAAACACUACCGGAAUCAUCCUUAAGAUGAAAUUUCAUUUUAAAACUGCAUUCUUUCUCUAGCAAUGGGAACAUUAAGCCAUUCCAAUUGGUUUGUCAGCAGCUGGAAGAGGUUAGAAUAGUGAAACUGGAGUCCACCUACCUGCUGGAAAAGUACAGCUGAAAGAGGCAAUUUCUAGACAACAAAGGGUAAGGAGGUGAGGUGAAGAUACUGUUAUUCUAGUGGCCAGAAGGGUGCUAUCAUCAAGUUAGUAAGAAUAAUGUUUUCCUUAGCUCUCAUGGGACUUCUUUGUCCAUGUGGAUCCAUUUCAAACAUUUUUCCCCUUUAAGCACUCCUUGAUAAUAAAAAAAAAACUGAUAUAAGCGCUCUUUCAUGGGAAGAAUCUCACUUUGGUCUGUGUAUUUUGUCUUCAGAAAACCAUAGGGCUCAGAGUGGGUACAAAAAGAGCUUAGUACUCAAAAAAUACAGCCCACAGCUGAGAGAAACUGCAAGAGCAGGGGUUAAUGGUACUGAGGGCUUCAUGGUUCAGCUGUUUGCAGAUCAGUAAUUAGAAUCCUCUGCUUACCGCAUUGAUCUCUCCCUGAGCAGCACUGUGAAAUACUACAGAGAGAUCUAUUAGUCAUAGAGAUAUUUGGGUGGGGGAAGGAAAUGAAACACUUCCCCCCACCGUUUCUAGGUAUUUGAGGGCAAGAAGAGUGUUCUUCUACCUUUAAGGAGAAGCUGUGGUCUGUCUCCAGGGCUGCUGGGGCAGGCUGUCUCCAUGAGGGGCAGCUGGAGCUGUGAGAGCACAAUGUGCCAUGGUUGUGAUAAAGGUGUGUGCAGGCUGUAUGCUGGUGCACACUUGGGGCUGCACUGUGUGGUGUGAGUAAUAACGUACCAGCACAGCAGGGGGAGAAGGUCUCCUGGCAUGUAACUAACCUUUCUGCUGUUAAAUCCCUGCCUGAUCUGUGCAGAAAUGCUAGAGAAUGUGUGUGCUUUCCCUACUGUCUCUAAAGGGGCUGUAUUCCAGGUGGGAGCAGGGGUAAUGUAAAGGACUGAAUAUCAGUGUGAUACUCUUAUGAGUAAGACUGUAUCUGGUGUGACUUCUUAUGGAAGGUUUUGGAGAACCAGGGAACAGGGCUGCUGAGAAGGGAGUUGAGUCUGUGAAAGGAUGUGACUCUCACUUAGAUGUUUGCUUAAAAGCUGUGAGAAGAACAGAUGAGCUGCAACCAGAUGCUAAGGUGAUGGCAACACAGUCAGGGGCGUCUUGUAUUGUUGAAGACCAUUCUACUACAGUUAAAAACAAGUCUAGAAAAGCCUUCUGACAGGGUUGUUUUUUUUUUAAUAAAACCUAUCUCACAGUGAAACUAGGCUAACAAAUAGUACUGUAAAAUUAACUUCUGCUUGCCAUCACCCUUGUAAAUAAGCCUAUUUCUUAAUUCUCAUAUGAGGUAAUGAGAGAUUAAAACACAUCACUACUUAUGCUAACAAACUACAUGGGAAAUUGACUUUUGUCUUUAAAAAAAAAAGUCAGAGUUGUAGCUUUGGACACUGUGUCCAAACCAUACUAAGAAAUAUGUGUCAGCAGGAUCCGAGUUAGGGUUGUAAUGCUGCUGUCUAGCUAUAGAUCUUGAGACAAAGAAUCAAUAGGAACAAGUAAAUAAAAGUUGGUAAUGAG
Molecule: long non-coding RNA, 2200 nt
Filed under: Gallus gallus (chicken)
Lineage: Eukaryota; Metazoa; Chordata; Aves; Galliformes; Phasianidae
Description: lncRNA (ENSGALG00000054110.2)
Source: RNAcentral